GUCGCACACCCUUCACCACAGACAGAGGACCAAUCCACCUCUUUCUGGUAUACUGAGAAAUGUUUCUGAGCUCUUCCUUUUCCCUGAAUAAGAGUGAAAAUAGCAGGUGAGCUGGGGCCAAAGACUUAAACUGGGCACUGCAGGCUGUGGGCCUCAGUAAUGGGAUGUGCUCAGAGCGCAUGAUGGAUGCCUUCUCCUCUCCAUCUUGUCAGCAGAUCUCGGACUGCGUGUAUAACCUCAUUUGGGGAUAAUAUCAAGAGCCCAUAUCUGAGCCCUUUAAAGAGAAGUCUUCUGGACUAACUAAGGAUCCCUCCAGGGUCUUCCUGGGCUUCUGGGAAACCCAGGGACCAACCACAAACUGCUCCACUCCCACCAAGGAUGAGCACCAGGCUUCCCUGCUGGCUCAGGGGUGAAGAAUCUGCCUGCCAGUUCAGGAGACAUAGGUUCAAUCUCUAAUCUGGGAAGACCCCACAUGCCCUGGGGCAACUAAGCCCGGGCACCACACUAUUGAGCCUGUCCUCUAGGACCCAGGAGUCACAAGUACUGAGCCCAUGUACCACAACUAUUGAAGCCUGCAUGCCCUAGAGCCUGUGCUCCACAAUAAGAGAAGCUACCACACGGACAAACCCAAGCGCCACAGCUAGAGAGUAGCCCCAACUCACUGCAACUAGAGAAAAACCAGCACAGCA
Bos taurus (domestic cattle) is the source of this 689-nucleotide long non-coding RNA. The record is from Ensembl. Lineage: Eukaryota; Metazoa; Chordata; Mammalia; Artiodactyla; Bovidae.